GAUAAACGCUGGCGGCGUGCCUAAUGCAUGCAAGUCGAACGGAUAGAUGUCUUCGGACAGCUAUUAGUGGCAAACGGGUGAGUAACACGUGGGGAUCUGCCCAGUAGUGGGGAACAACUCCGAGAAAUCGGAGCUAAUACCGCAUACGGUAGGUAUCGAGGGAUACCAUACUAAAGCCAGUAAUGGCGCUAUUGGAGGAACCUGCGGCUGAUUAGCUUAGNGGUGGGGCAAGGCCUACCAAGGCGAUGAUCAGUAGCUGGUCUGAGAGGAUGGACAGCCACACUGGGACUGAGAUACGGCCCAGACUCCUACGGGAGCAGCAGCAAGGAAUUUUCGUCAAUGGGGAAACCCUGAACGAGCAACGCCGCGUGGGCGAAGAAGUCUU
This 385-nucleotide ribosomal RNA is filed under the name uncultured bacterium. Its description in RNAcentral is "bacterial SSU rRNA". It matches the Rfam family "Bacterial small subunit ribosomal RNA", at positions 28 to 417 of the family's 1533-position model. The record is from RNAcentral.